UAGGGAAUCUUCCGCAAUGGACGAAAGUCUGACGGAGCAACGCCGCGUGAGCGAAGAAGGUCUUCGGAUCGUAAAGCUCUGUUGUCAGGGAAGAACAAGUACCGUUCGAACAGGGCGGUACCUUGACGGUACCUGACGAGGAAGCCACGGCUAACUACGUGCCAGUAGCCGCGGUAAUACGUAGGUGGCAAGCGUUGUCCGGAAUUAUUGGGCGUAAAGCGCGCGCAGGCGGUUCCUUAAGUCUGAUGUGAAAUCUCGCGGCUCAACCGCGAGCGGCCAUUGGAAACUGGGGAACUUGAGUGCAGGAGAGGGGAGCGGAAUUCCACGUGUAGCGGUGAAAUGCGUAGAGAUGUGGAGGAACACCAGUGGCGAAGGCGGCUCUCUGGUCUGUAACUGACGCUGAGGCGCGAAAGCGUGGGGAGCAAACAGG
RNAcentral lists this ribosomal RNA (430 nucleotides) under Bacillota bacterium. RNAcentral describes it as "Firmicutes bacterium partial 16S ribosomal RNA". It matches the Rfam family "Bacterial small subunit ribosomal RNA", at positions 355 to 776 of the family's 1533-position model. The record is from RNAcentral. Lineage: Bacteria; Bacillati; Bacillota.